UUUGAUAUUGAGUGUCUGUACCGCAUGUACAGGAUAGGUAGGAGCCGUAGAAAUCGGAACGCUAGUUUCGAUGGAGGCGCUGGUGGGAUACUACCCCUGCGUUAUGGCCACUCUAACCCGCACCACUGAUCGUGGUGGGAGACAGUGUCAGAUGGGCAGUUUGACUGGGGCGGUCGCCUCCUAAAAGGUAACGGAGGCGCCCAAAGGUUCCCUCAG
Molecule: ribosomal RNA, 216 nt
Filed under: Enterococcus faecium
Lineage: Bacteria; Bacillati; Bacillota; Bacilli; Lactobacillales; Enterococcaceae
Description: partial 23S ribosomal RNA
Rfam family: Bacterial large subunit ribosomal RNA
Source: RNAcentral